Molecule: unclassified non-coding RNA, 353 nt
Filed under: Hevea brasiliensis (rubber tree)
Lineage: Eukaryota; Viridiplantae; Streptophyta; Magnoliopsida; Malpighiales; Euphorbiaceae
Source: RNAcentral
AGGACAUCACCCUUCUUCUCUCCUACUCUCUGUACAUAAAAAAGCAUCACUGUGUGCGUGCAGGUUUAAGUAUUGGAGUUUGAGGAUUGAUAGCAAAGGCGAUGGCUUGUGUGACAACUACUAGCCUCAUCUACUCCAUCUCUUGUGAUCGAAGACACGCUCCUGCUCGUCGAUUCUUGUAUAAUGUCAAGAAAUACAACAGAAUCUUGCUUAAAACAUGCAAUAGACUCUCUUCGAUGGGUGGAUUGCGAGUUUAUUGCGAAUCCAAGGUAGAGGAAAAGAAGGUGAGAAAGUGUUCCCCUUGCCUAGAAAAGGCAUUGCUUACGAGUAAAAGCAAUGGUGCCUUGGCUUCU